UCACAUCACAAAUCACUAUCAAAAGUCAUAAAGCUGGCAUAUCUUUGAUACCAAUAAAUUGUAAUGCCCCAAACCUAACUGGUUAAUGUUACGAGAUUGCAUAUUUACAGAAAUAUGUUUCAAAUGAUAAAUAAAUUCUUCAAAGUACGAUUACACAUGUUCUCUUAUCUCUCUCUUCUUGAACUCUGCUGCCUUAGCCCUUCUUGGAGCUCCACUAACUUGAUUGCCGGAAUUACGCUGCAAUAAUUGUGUAUUUUUUUACUCUUACUUCUACCUCCACCUUCUAUAGUUUCUAAUAUAUUAAAAUUCUGAUGGAAAAAAUGGAACAAAACUAUGAUACACGUCGAGAAUUUUAUUAAACCUAAAAACUUUACUUUCUGGCAGUCUAACAGAUGCUAAAUUAUUUUCUUCUAAUGCUCAUGAAAUCCACACAUUGGAAAACUAUGGCAUCUUUACUUGGCAGGACAGUAUCCUUUGUAAAUAUUUAAUAAUCUGGGAAACGCAAGACAUCCAGAAAUUUGUGAGAAAUCUUAAAACAGUUUAGACAAGAAUAGCUGGCAUAACAGUGUCUAUCCACAAUUUUUCUGUUCAUACAGUCAUGAUAUUCAUUCUCAAUGACUAUAAUGAAACAUGAACUUAUGUGAAAGAAGCACGCAAGCUACUGAGGGAGCCUGUUGGUAAUGCUAGGUACAUGGAGUUGCAACAUGUCACAUGGGAUGAACUGGGCAAAUUACUUCUUGUAAUUGAUCUCUGUAACUCAAAUCAAUAGGUAGUUUUUCCUUUUUCCUGAAAAGUAUAAAGUUCAACUGUUAACUCUUUUUAAUAGAAUAGCGACAUAACUAAGCUCGCUAAAAAAGGAGAUAGCAACAACCCCAGUAUCAAGUAUUACUAUUGUACAAGAGAAUUCAACAUCACAAGGGAGUUUUAUAGAAAUUAUUGGCAAUGGCAACGCAGUAUGAAGAUGAAGUUCGUUAUCCAUUAGGGUAGUAAUUAAAGAACAACUAUCAGUAUGUCUGUUAGUCGAAAACCGAAGAGCUUUGAAGUAGGCUCUGCAGAACAAACUUAGAGAGAGAGUUGAGGAGAGAGAGAGGGCAGCAAAACAGAGCAAAAACCUGCAACUGCCUCUGUUUUGCUGUUUUCUAAGAGGAGUUUCACUUUCUGUUUUUUGAGAGAAGAAGAUAAUUGAUCUUUUUAUUUCAGCAUAUAUAUAGAGAUAUCGAUUACAAGUGAUCAAGUCAAAUCAUCCGAAAACCAUGCAUACACGUCUCGUGAAGUUUACGUAUCCUACUGUGAUACAUCUUCUCGAUACAUUUCCUUCCUUUUGAAUUUAAACUGAACAGAUAAAAAAAGUCAUUAAUUUUAACACUCCCUCUUAAUGACUUUUUCCACCAACCCCUAUUUUUUCUCGUAAAUCCUCAAAUUUAGCUUUAGACAGGGCCUUGGUUAGAAUGUCACCAAGUUGAUCAUCAGUGGAGCAAUGUAUCAGCUUGAUUUCUUGAUUCCUCUCAGCCUUACGUAUAGCAUGAUACUUAACGUUGAUGUGUUUAGUUCUCCCGUGCAUUACAGGAUUUUUCGCAAUGGCAAUUGCAGACUUGUUGUCAACAUACAACACUGUAGGUGAUUGUCCUUCCAGCUUUAGAUCGUUGAACACCUUCCUCAACCAAAUUGCUUGGUUAGUUGCUGUAGCUGCGGCUACAUACUCAACCUCAGCUGUGGAUUGAGCCACAGUAUCCUGUUUCUUAGAUGCCCCAUGAAAAAACACUGGAGCCUAUUUUGAACAAGUACCCAGUUGUGCUACGUGCAUCUUCUACGCUUCCUGCCCAAUCACUGUCACUGUAGCCGACUAAUCCACAUUCUGCUCUUGCUUUGAAUUGAACACCAAAAUUCCAGGUUCCUUUCAAGUACCUCAGCACAUGUUUGGCAGCUUGUAAGUGUGAUUCCCUCGGUGAAGCCAUGAACCUUGAAAGUAAACUUACUGCAAACGAAAUAUCUGGUCUGGUAGCUGUGAGAUACAGAAGGCUCCCAAUUAGACUUCUGUAAUUCCCUUCUUCAACUUGGCUACCUUUCUCAUCCUUUGACAAUUUCAUGUUGGACACCAGUGGUGUAGAUACUGAUUUACAAUGAUUCAUAUUGAAUUUAUUUAGAAUUUCUUUGGCAUACUUGCCUUGUGAAAGAAAAAUACCCAAGUUGCUUUGAUGAAUCUCCAUUCCCAGGAAGUAGGUAGUUUCUCCAAGAUCAGACAUCUCAAAUUCCUUCUCCAAUUUCAGCUUGAACUCUUUCAUUCUCCUUUUGUUGCUGCCUGUCACCAGUAUAUCAUCAACAUAUACUGCAGUGAUAAGUCGGUCUUCUUCUCUAUUCACAUACAGUGUGUUUUCUGUCAUACUUCUCUCAAACCCACAGUGAAGUAAGUAUGAAUUUAACUUAUCAUACCAGGCUCGAGGAGCCUGUUUGAGGCCAUAUAGGGCUUUGUGAAGAAGAUAGAUAUGACUCUCCUUUCCAAGUUGAAUGAAUCCCGGUGGCUGCUCAACAUAAAUUUCUUCAUUUAGCUUGCCAUUUAAAAAGGCCGAUUUCACAUCCAGGUGCAUCACACUCCAACCAAACUGAGCUGUCAUGGCCAGAAUGAGUCUAAUUGUUUCAUAUCUGGCCACAGGAGCAAAAGUUUCUGUGUAGUCAAUUCCUGGAAGCUGGGAGUAUCCCUUUGCCACAAGCCGUGCCUUGUGCUUGUUUGUUGUCCCGUCCGGAUUGAGUUUCACUUUGAACACCCACUUUACUCCAAUUGGUUUUUUAUUUGUACUUAAUUUUACCAGAGACCAAGUAUUGUUUUUGUCAAUCAUUCUGAUUUCCUCUUCCAUAGCAAGUCUCCACUCUUGUUGCUGAAGUGCUUCCUCAACAGAGGAAGGUUCUUUUGAGGCAAAACUGCAUCUUUCAUAGAUGUCAGCCAGACUUUUCAAUUUUAUUCUCUCUUCUGCUUCAGAUUCUUCAUCUUCUUUAUCUUCUUCAUCAUCGUCAUCAUUUUCACCAUCUUCAUCAUCUUUAUCUUUCUGAGUUGAGAUUGAUAUUGUCACUGAUUUCUUUCCUUCUUCAAUUGUGACACAGUCUUGUUCGACUUUCUGCUUCUCUCAAUUCCAGUAGCUGUUUUCAUCCACCGUUACAUUUCUUUGAAUCAUAAGCUUGUUGGUUCUCAGGUUAAGAAUUCUGUAUGCUUUUGCUUCAAUACUGUAUCCCAAAAAUAUUCCCAACUCAGCCUUCAUAUCUAGCUUGGAUCUCUUUGUCAUCCGAGACAUGGCAGUAGCACACUGAUCCAAACACCUUUAGAUACUUAGUUGAUGGUUUGAUGCCACUCCAAGCCUCCACCGGUGUCAUCUGUUUUACAGCCUUUGUAGGCAGCAUGUUAAGCAGGAACACAGCAGUGUUCACUGCCUCAGCCCACAAGGCUUUAGGCAGGUGUUUGUCAGCAAGCAUGCUUCUUGCCAUUUCCAUAAUGGUUCUGUUCUUCCUCUCAGAGACACCAUUUUGCUGAGGAGAAUAUGGUGCCGUGAGCUGCCUUUUGAUCCCAUUCUCAGAAUAGAAAUCAUUGAAUUUGCUGGAAUUGAAUUCAAGCCCAUUAUCUGUCCUUAGACACCUCAAUACGCUGCUACUUUCUUUCUCUGCUAUAACUUUGAACCUCUUGAAUUCACCAAAAAUUUGAGCUUUAUUCUGCAGGAAACAAACCCAAAUCAUCUUGGAAAAAUCAUCUAUGAACAAGCCAAAAUACUUGCAACCACUCAUAGAGUUUUCUGUCAUUGGACCAAAAAUGUCAGAAUUGAUAAGUGUCAGCUUCUCUUUCGCUCUCCAAUCUGCUUGCAGAGGAAAUGAAUUUCUUGCCAAUUUCCCCAUCUGACAUGCUCCACAUACUAUCUCAGUGACAGCAAAAUUUGGGAAGUCCUUGGUUAGACUUUCCUUCUGCAGUUGUUGUAGCCCAGCCGCAUGAAAAUGCCCAAGGCGCUUGUGCCAAAUCUCGCCUUCAGUUACAGAGGCAACACUGGCUCUUUCAACUACUUCUCUGAGUUUCAAGGAGUAGACUUGAUUCUUCUUUUAGAUGAAGGCAAUCAAGCGAUCCUCAGGAUCAUAUAUCCUGCGGCAGUUAUCCUUGAAUCCAACCGAGUAGCCUUGAUCAGUCAUCUGAUUAACACUGAGUAGAUUCUGUGAGAGGGUAGGAACAAAAUUUACAUCAGUGAUAAAUUUUUUACCUUCCUUGGUUUCAAUGGCAAUGUUGCCUUUGCCCUUGAUGGUUUCCAGCAUGCCAUUUUCAAGUCUUACUUGGCCUGUUGCUGAUUUGUCAAGUGACACAAACAUGGCUUCAUUCUUGCACAUGUGAGAAGUGCAACCACUAUCAACAACCCAGAGGCUGUCGUCUUCCACUGUCAAUUCACUUGAAGUAACAAGAAUUGUAUUACUUUGCUCACUGGAUAUCUCAGUGAUAUUUAUAUGUUGCAACUCCUGCUUAGAUUGUGCCGCUUCCAGCUUUUGUUUUUGCCGACAGAACUUCUCCUUAUGGCCCAGUCUUUUGCAGAAGUUGCAUUGGAUAGCUUUCUUUCCCUUAUACCAGCAUUCAUUCUCAAAUGAUUUGUGAGGGAGCAAAUGCUGCAAGGAGGAUACUUCUUCUGUUUUAUGAAACUUUGGUUUCCAGUUUGAUUUCCUCCAUUCCUUCUCCCUUGAUACUGAUUUGAAGGGGUAGCUUUGAUUUGAGAUGAGAAUAAGGCUCCUUCAAUAGGUACACGAGCAUGCAUGUUGACACGUUGCUCCUGUGUUUGUAGCUUAUUGAUUAGUUCAGCUGAAGAAAUCUUAUCAAUAUCUGCAAGUUCCUCCAAAGUUGAGAUUUUAGACUCAAAUUUUGGUGGUAAGCUUAUAAGAAUUUGUUCUACCACCCUUGAUUCAGGAAAGUCCUCCCCCAACAAUCUCAUUUUAUUGACAAUAUCCGAGAGUUUGGAGGCAUAGUCCCUAACAGACUCAUUUUCCUGCAUUCUGAGUAAUGCAAAUUCACUUUUUAACCUCAGUAGCUUGAUCUUCUUGCUUCUGUCUCCUCCAUCAAACUCCUCCUUCAGUUUCUCCCACGCUUCCUUAGGUGAUUCAUAGUUCAUAAUCCUAGAGAAAACCCUGUCCGAAACCGCUGAGAAGAGAUAGGCAAGUGCUUUUGGUUUCUUGGUCUUCUCUUCCUCAUGUCUUUUAAUCUGGUUCAAUGUAGCAGUUUCUUGUAGUGGGGUUGGUUCACUAUCGUCUAUAAUAACGUCCCAUAAACCCAGAGCUUUGAGGUGAGCUCUCAUCUUUAUUGCCCACACAUGGUAAUUUUCUCCGUUGAACUGCGAAGCAGGGGUAGUUCCUGAGGUUGCCAUCGGGUUUGAGAAAUUUUUUUUGAUUCACCUGAUACGGGGGAAAACCAGGCUCUGAUACCAGUUGUUAGUCGAAAACCGAAGAGCUUUGAAGUAGGCUCUGCAUAACAAACUUAGAGAGAGAGUUGAGGAGAGAGAGAGGGCAGCAAAACAGAGCAAAAACCUGCAACUGCCUCUGUUUUGCUGUUUUCUAAGAGGAGUUUCACUUUCUGUUUUUUG
This 5588-nucleotide long non-coding RNA is filed under the name Carica papaya (papaya). Its description in RNAcentral is "long non-coding RNA (CPAP_LNC011205)". The record is from RNAcentral. Lineage: Eukaryota; Viridiplantae; Streptophyta; Magnoliopsida; Brassicales; Caricaceae.